Molecule: unclassified non-coding RNA, 254 nt
Filed under: Sphaerographium sp.
Lineage: Eukaryota; Fungi; Ascomycota; Leotiomycetes; Chaetomellales; Chaetomellaceae
Description: partial contains 5.8S ribosomal RNA, internal transcribed spacer 2, and large subunit ribosomal RNA
Rfam family: 5.8S ribosomal RNA (bases 1-71)
Source: RNAcentral
GUGAGUCAUCGAAUCUUUGAACGCACAUUGCGCCCUUUGGUAUUCCGAAGGGCAUGCCUGUUCGAGCGUCAUUACACCUUCUAUCAAGGUAUUGGGAGAUGCAUCUGCACUCCUUAAAAACAGUGGUGAUAACUGUCUACUCACGCAUAGUAAUCUCUGCGACGGAUACACAGUGACCGCACCGUAAUUCUCUUGUUUGACCUCGGAUCAGGUAGGGAUACCCGCUGAACUUAAGCAUAUCAAUAAGCGGAGGA